RNAcentral lists this ribosomal RNA (433 nucleotides) under uncultured bacterium. Its description in RNAcentral is "partial 16S ribosomal RNA". It matches the Rfam family "Bacterial small subunit ribosomal RNA", at positions 29 to 507 of the family's 1533-position model. The record is from RNAcentral.
AACGAACGCUGGCGGCAUGCCUAACACAUGCAAGUCGAACGAGACCUUCGGGUCUAGUUGCGCACGGGUACUUACCGCGUGGGAACCUGCCCUUAGGUUCGGAAUAACUCCCCGCGAGGGGUGCUAAUGCCGGUUAAUGUCUUCGGACCAAAGAUUUCUCGCAUUUGGAUGGGCCCGCGUUGGAUUAGCUAGUUGGUAGGGUAAACGCCUACCCAGGCGACUAUCCAUAGCUGGUCUGAGAGGAUGAUCAGCCAGACUGGGACUGAGACACGACCCAGACUCGUACGGGAGGCAGGAGUGGGGAAUAUUGGACAAUGGGCGAAAGGCUGAGCCAGCACGGCGGCGUGAGUGAUGAAGGCGUUAGGGUUGUAUAGCGCUUUGAACCGGGAGGAUAAUGACGGUACCGGGAGAAGAAGCACCGGCUAACUCCGUG